GGCCCAGUAGCUCAGCAGGUCAGAGCAGCGGACUCAUAAUCCGUCGGUCGCGGGUUCAAGCCCCGCCUGGGCUA
Molecule: transfer RNA, 74 nt
Filed under: Brachybacterium fresconis
Lineage: Bacteria; Bacillati; Actinomycetota; Actinomycetes; Micrococcales; Dermabacteraceae
Also listed under: 1 other name
Description: tRNA-Ile
Rfam family: tRNA
About the family: Transfer RNA (tRNA) molecules are approximately 80 nucleotides in length. Their secondary structure includes four short double-helical elements and three loops (D, anti-codon, and T loops).
Source: RNAcentral